CGGCGGACGGGUGAGUAACACGUGGAUAACCUACCUAUAAGACUGGAUAACUUCGGGAAACCGUAGCUAAUACCGGAUAAUAUAUUGAACCGCAUGGUUCAAUAGUGAAAGACGGUUUUGCUGUCACUUAUAGAUGGAUCCGCGCCGCAUUAGCUAGUUGGUAAGGUAACGGCUUACCAAGGCAACGAUGCGUAGCCGACCUGAGAGGGUGAUCGGCCACACUGGAACUGAGACACGGUCCAG
RNAcentral lists this ribosomal RNA (243 nucleotides) under uncultured Staphylococcus sp. RNAcentral describes it as "partial 16S ribosomal RNA". It matches the Rfam family "Bacterial small subunit ribosomal RNA", at positions 96 to 334 of the family's 1533-position model. The record is from RNAcentral. Lineage: Bacteria; Bacillati; Bacillota; Bacilli; Caryophanales; Staphylococcaceae.